This 404-nucleotide ribosomal RNA is filed under the name uncultured bacterium. Its description in RNAcentral is "bacterial SSU rRNA". It matches the Rfam family "Bacterial small subunit ribosomal RNA", at positions 355 to 775 of the family's 1533-position model. The record is from RNAcentral.
UAGGGAAUAUUGCUUAAUGGGCGAAAGCCUGAAGCAGCAACGCCGCGUGGACGAAGAAGGCCUUCGGGUUGUAAAGUUCUUUUAUAUGGGAUGAGGAAGGGCAGUACCAUAUGAAUAAGUCUCGGCUAACUACGUGCCAGCAGCCGCGGUAAAACGUAGGAGACGAGCGUUAUCCGGAUUUACUGGGCGUAAAGAGCGUGUAGGAGGCAAUACAAGUUGGAUGUAAAAGCUCUCGGCUAAACUGAGAGAGGACGUUCAAGACUGUAGAGCUAGAGGAAGGCAGAGGUAGAUGGAACUCCGGGAGUAGUGGUGAAAUGCGUAGAUAUCCGGAAGAACACCAGAGGCGAAAGCGAUCUACUGGGCCUUAACAGACACUGAGACGCGAAAGCCAGGGUAGCAAACGG